RNAcentral lists this ribosomal RNA (250 nucleotides) under uncultured bacterium. Its description in RNAcentral is "partial 16S ribosomal RNA". It matches the Rfam family "Bacterial small subunit ribosomal RNA", at positions 524 to 773 of the family's 1533-position model. The record is from RNAcentral.
UACGGAGGAUCCAAGCGUUAUCCGGAUUUAUUGGGUUUAAAGGGUGCGUAGGCGGCCUGUUAAGUCAGAGGUGAAAGACGGUAGCUCAACUAUCGCAGUGCCUUUGAUACUGAUGGGCUUGAAUGGACUAGAGGUAGGCGGAAUGAGACAAGUAGCGGUGAAAUGCAUAGAUAUGUCUCAGAACACCGAUUGCGAAGGCAGCUUACUAUGGUUUGAUUGACGCUGAGGCACGAAAGCGUGGGGAUCGAAC